This 188-nucleotide non-coding RNA is filed under the name Bdellovibrionales bacterium. Its description in RNAcentral is "6S RNA". It matches the Rfam family "6S / SsrS RNA". Rfam says of the family: E. coli 6S RNA was the first non coding RNA to be sequenced, but its function was unknown until recently. It consists of 184 nucleotides that fold into an extended hairpin structure with a large single-stranded internal bulge. Lineage: Bacteria; Pseudomonadati; Bdellovibrionota; Bdellovibrionia; Bdellovibrionales. The record is from RNAcentral.
AGCUCUCUAUAUAGCGCGUGAGAUAACUCGAUGUUUUUGUCUCAUUAGAGUGUUUUUUCGGGAGCCGUCGCUGACUGCGGAGUGCAUGCCUGGCGCGAUCAGGAAGCCAAAAGUGGUUAUAAUGGCGCCCACUUCGAUUUUUUCGGAAGAUAAAAACACGGUGUCUCACGGCACGUAAUGGAGAGCUU